This 1292-nucleotide long non-coding RNA is filed under the name Scleropages formosus (Asian bonytongue). RNAcentral's name for it is "lncRNA (ENSSFOG00015024705.1)". The record is from RNAcentral. Lineage: Eukaryota; Metazoa; Chordata; Actinopteri; Osteoglossiformes; Osteoglossidae.
CGGGCUCUCGUGCACGGCACAGCCUAUUUUUCUCCCCGCCGCUCCCGUGACCCGUCUAUCUGGGCUGGCUUGGCAGACAGCUCAGGUUCCUGAAUUGGUCAGGGUUUUUCUUCCUCUUUUUUAGUGCAUAAAUUGUUUUUAGGUGCGUUUUUGAAUUUCAUAUAACCUUGACGGACGGCAAAUACCAUUAUUUAAUAAAAGAUGGAAGACCCAAAAGAACGGACGCGACAACAAGAAUUUCAAGAAUCGGUCAGAGGCUGGAUGAGACAGGGGGACCAAGCAAGAGUGCAGGAAACUGCAACAAAGAGAAGACAAACACAGAAAACCAAUGACUUCAGACAACUUGGAAAGAAGCCGAGAAGAAGUGGUGCCAGGCUGCAGGGGAGUGGAGCUACAGGAAUUGUGAGCCAAGGAGAUGUGAACUGGGAGACCUCAGUUGCCUGGAGAGAUCCAGGGGCAGGUGUCAAGGUGGCAACGGUCAGAACAUCACUGAGAAAGAAACCCCUAACUGCAUCCCAAAAAAGGAGGAAGAUCAGCCCUUCUGGAUUUAGGGGGAAAGGUGAGGGUUUUUACCUUCAUCUUGUUAUAUAUCAUUUUAUCUGUAUUCGUUUAGGCAGUACUUGGGUAGACAUGAUAGUACUGUUUUCUAGUGUGAAAGAACAUGAGUUUGAUCUCAGCUCAGUAAGUUUAUUACAGUUUUUUACCACAAUCCAAAAACAUGUGUUUGGUGCUGUUGUAGCUGGAGACUGUUAAUCAUAUAAAGUAUGAUUAUGGUUAUUGUCAGCAUUUAAGAUUAUAUUUUAAUAAUGUGGGUCAUAAUUUUAUAUAUACAAUUGUACAUUAAUACUAAUUCUCCAUGCACCUACUGGUGUAUUGUAUGCUGCUUAAAAUGGUGUUACUAGACAAACUAUCUGAAAAUUGUCUGCAUCUCUAUCUUUCCAGCUGUUGGUGUAAUGCACUUUUACUUUCUCUGACUUUUAUGACACUUUAUAUAUAUAAUAUAUAUACACACUGUCAUUUUGUUUCUUUAUGGUUCAGUGCUUCUUUAGUGGGGAUGUAGUGGCACAGCAGGUUAAACUGGUGUCUCAUGACUCCUGAGCUGCUUGGCGGGGGGGUUGUAGGGUUUGCAUGUUUCUCCCAGCAUUUGCAGCCCUCCCAGACAUGCAUGGAAGAAGGCACAGUGGCAAAGCACUUCUGUUCCUCCCUUGCCUUGGAAACCGCUAAUGUAGUUAAGAGUCCAAAUCAACUCAAUGGCACUUUCAUCUAUUUACUACUUAUUUUUAUAGUACUGU